Molecule: ribosomal RNA, 292 nt
Filed under: uncultured bacterium
Lineage: Bacteria
Description: partial 16S ribosomal RNA
Rfam family: Bacterial small subunit ribosomal RNA
Source: RNAcentral
GUGUCAGCAGCCGCGGUAAUACGUAGGGGGCAAGCGUUGUCCGGAAUCAUUGGGCGUAAAGAGCGUGUAGGCGGCCCGAUAAGUCCGCUGUGAAAGUCCAGGGCUCAACCCUGGAAUGCCGGUGGAUACUGUCGGGCUCGAAUCCGGAAGAGGUGAGUGGAAUUCCUGGUGUAGCGGUGAAAUGCGCAGAUAUCAGGAGGAACACCAAUGGCGAAGGCAGCUCACUGGGACGGUAUUGACGCUGAGACGCGAAAGCGUGGGGAGCAAACAGGAUUAGAAACCCCGGUAGUCC